RNAcentral lists this ribosomal RNA (494 nucleotides) under uncultured eukaryote. RNAcentral's name for it is "bacterial SSU rRNA". It matches the Rfam family "Eukaryotic small subunit ribosomal RNA", at positions 1158 to 1667 of the family's 1831-position model. The record is from RNAcentral.
GGAAGGGCACCACCAGGAGUGGAAUCUGCGGCUUAAUUUGACAACGCGGGAAAACUCACCAGGUCAGGACACGGUAAGGAUUGACGGACUGAAGGCUCUUUCUCGAUUCCGUGGAAAGUGGUGCAUGGCCGUUUUUGGUUGGUGGAUCGAUCCGUCUGGUUAAUUCCGUUAACGAACGAGACCUCGGCACUCCGAAUAGCGCGGCGGACGUCGCGGCCUCCGGGCCGUCUUCCGCACGAGCUUCUUAGAGGGACCGUCCCCCGCCGGGGAAGGAGGUGCGAGGCAACGACAGGUCUGUGAUGCCCUUAGAUGUUCUGGGCCGCACGCGCAUUACACUGACGCGUCCAACGGGUGACUCCCGACCCGAAGGGGCCGGGGAAUCCGCAAGGCGCGUCGUGAUGGGGAUUGAACGUUGCAUUGUUGUUCACGAACGAGGAAUUCCUAGUAGGCGCGGUCAUCAACCCGCGCCGAUUACGUCCCUGCCCUUUGUACAC